GACGAACGCUGGCGGCGUGCUUAACACAUGCAAGUCGAACGGAAAGGCCCUGCUUUUGUGGGGUGCUCGAGUGGCGAACGGGUGAGUAACACGUGAGUAACCUGCCCUUGACUUUGGGAUAACUUCAGGAAACUGGGGCUAAUACCGGAUAGGAGCUCCUGCUGCAUGGUGGGGGUUGGAAAGUUUCGGCGGUUGGGGAUGGACUCGCGACUUAUCAGCUUGUUGGUGGGGUAGUGGCUUACCAAGGCUUUGACGGGUAGCCGGCCUGAGAGGGUGACCGGCCACAUUGGGACUGAGAUACGGCCCAGACUCCUACGGGAGGCAGCAGUGGGGAAUAUUGCACAAUGGGCGGAAGCCUGAUGCAGCAACGCCGCGUGCGGGAUGACGGCCUUCGGGUUGUAAACCGCUUUCGCAUGUGACGAAGCGUGAGUGACGGUAAUGGGUAAAGAAGCACCGGCUAACUACGUG
RNAcentral lists this ribosomal RNA (468 nucleotides) under uncultured bacterium. RNAcentral's name for it is "partial 16S ribosomal RNA". It matches the Rfam family "Bacterial small subunit ribosomal RNA", at positions 28 to 507 of the family's 1533-position model. The record is from RNAcentral.